CAGUAGCCGCGGUAAUACGUAGGGUGCAAGCGUUAAUCGGAAUUACUGGGCGUAAAGCGUGCGCAGGCGGUUUUGUAAGUCUGUCGUGAAAUCCCCGGGCUCAACCUGGGAAUGGCGAUGGAGACUGCAAGGCUAGAAUCUGGCAGAGGGGGGUAGGAUUCCACGUGUAGCAGUGAAAUGCGUAGAUAUGUGGAGGAACACCGAUGGCGAAGGCAGCCCCCUGGGCUAAGAUUGACGCUCAUGCACGAAAGCGUGGGGAGCAGACAGGAUUAGAGACCCCUGUAGUCCCUGUCUCUUAUAC
RNAcentral lists this ribosomal RNA (301 nucleotides) under uncultured bacterium. RNAcentral describes it as "partial 16S ribosomal RNA". It matches the Rfam family "Bacterial small subunit ribosomal RNA", at positions 509 to 807 of the family's 1533-position model. The record is from RNAcentral.